AUGAAUUCCUUAGGAACCUUUAUUAUAAAUGGAAUAUACCGAAGUGUGAUCAAUCAAAUAUUGCUAAGUCCUAGUAUUUACUACCGCUCGGAAUUAGAUCAUAAUGGAAUUUCUAUCUACACUGGCACUAUAAUAUCAGAUUGGGGGGGGAGAUCGGAAUUAGCAAUUCAUAAAAAAGAAAGGCUAUGGGCUCGCGUGAGUAGAAAACAAAAGAUAUCUAUUCUAGUUCUAUCAUCAGCUAUGGGUUCGAAUCUAAGAGAAAUUCUAGAUAAUGUUUCCUACCCUGAAAUUUUCUUGUCUUUCCCGAAUGCUAAGGAGAAGAAGAGGAUUGAGUCAAAAAAAGCUAUUUUGGAGUUUUAUCAACAAUUUGCUUGUGUACGUGGGGACCUGGUAUUUUCGGAGUCCUUAUGCGAGGAAUUACAAAAGAAAUUUUUUCAACAAAAAUGCGAAUUAGGAAGGAUUGGUCGACGAAAUAUGAAUCGGGGACUUAAUCUUGAUAUACCUCAGAACAAUACAUUCUUGUUACCACGAGAUGUAUUGGCCGCUACGGAUCAUUUGAUUGGAAUGAAAUUUGGAACUGGUAUGCUUGACGAUGACGAUAUAAAUCACUUGAAAAAUAAACGUAUUCGUUCGGUUGCGGACCUGUUACAAGAUCAAUUCGGAUUGGCUCUUGGUCGUUUACAACAUGCAGUUCAAAAAACUAUUCGUAAAGUAUUCAUACGUCAAUCGAAACCGACUCCCCAAACUUUGGUAACUCCAACUUCAACUUCAAUUUUAUUAAUAACUACUUAUGAGACCUUUUCUGGCACAUACCCGUUAUCUCAAGUUUUUCAUCAAACGAAUCCGUUGACACAAACUUCAUGGGCGAAAAGUGAGUUGUUUAGGUCCUGGAGGGUUGACGGGGAGAACCACAAGUUUUCGGAGGCGAGAUAUUCAUCCGAGUCACUAUGGGCGUAUUUGUGCAAUUGA
RNAcentral lists this ribosomal RNA (969 nucleotides) under Triticum aestivum (bread wheat). Its description in RNAcentral is "partial small subunit ribosomal RNA". Lineage: Eukaryota; Viridiplantae; Streptophyta; Magnoliopsida; Poales; Poaceae. The record is from RNAcentral.